CUCUGGGAAUUACAGUGGACAAUGGGAGGCAUUCUUAGGAGGGUCUAAUGAUGGAAUAAAAAGAAAAAUAUUUAUUGCUUUUGACAGUUCCACAAGGGGCAAAAAUCCUUGUCGUGGCUAAAGUUUCCCUAGCUGUUGGAGGAAGGCGGCUCACAGGGACUCAAACAGUUCCACUUCCUUUGUUAGGAGGCUGAGGACCAGGGCCAAGCUGGGAAAUUAAAGAUUAAGUUCAUUAAGACAGGGGAGCUCCAAACUUCCAAUAAAUCUACCAUGAAAAAACCAGCUGGGACCCAAAGAGAAAGCCAUAAGGAUGUUUACGGACUCUCAGCUCUCUGGGGAGGCAGCUAAGUUUCACGUGCUAGUAAUUCUCUCUUUCUGAAUGCUUCCUGCUUCAGGCUGGUCAGCCUUGACUUACCCCAGAGGACACCAGGACAUUGGCCAGAGAAUCAGGGAGGGAGAUAGGAUGCAAUCUGAAUGGAAGAUGGGGCAAGUGGCUUGACCUUGAUCGCCGUUAGAAGCCUGACCUUCAAGACUGGACCAAGCUAUGUCUAUUCAUGGCCCACGAUGGUGGAGGACUCACUAGUUAGUAUUACAAGGGAGACUUGGACCCAGGGGAGAGCCAGGACUUGCUAGAGACGAGCUGAUUUCCCUGUCCACACUCACCUCCUCCUGUACAUGUGAAUCAUCAAGCACUGCUGUGCGGGGGCAGAAAUGAAGCCAAACACGGUCCGUGGGUGUGGGAAGCAGCCUUUUCCUACUCUGCCAUAGAAGUAUGAAUUGGUAAACUCGGCAGGGGGGUAAUUUGGCAACAAUAAUACAACAAAACCCUUAAAUAACCAUAUAUGCUUUGUCCCAGCAGUUGCAUUUCUAGAAAUGUAGGUAAUAUUUAAAUAGCAUUCAGAAGUGCUUAUGACAGCAUCAGAACCCUGGGAGAAACCUCAUCAACACCCACUGAUUUGGUUAGUUAAUAAACGAGGGCGCGGCCUUUCCUUGGUGUA
Molecule: long non-coding RNA, 998 nt
Organism: Ictidomys tridecemlineatus (thirteen-lined ground squirrel)
Lineage: Eukaryota; Metazoa; Chordata; Mammalia; Rodentia; Sciuridae
Source: RefSeq, a predicted model, not a curated record